CAUGUGCCAACCUCGAGCCCAAACUGUGUGCCCUUAAAGCCAAACAGCCGCAACAUGCCACUCGCACCCAAAAAAAAAAAAAGGAAAACAGAAAACAGAAGGAGGCAAAGUGAAGGAAAUUCAAGAGGAGGAAGAAAAACUCUUGCCAAGUUGUCAGCUGCCAGCGACUUGCCAAUGCUGUGUCGGGCCAAAAGGUGCGAGGGAAACGAAAAUUCAAAGGCUGCCAAUUGCCAAUUGAAGCCGUAAACUGCCACACCCCUUUGGACUUUGGCCUGAUGUGGCGUGUCGUCUUUAGGGCGUCUCGUCUCGUCUCCUGUCCUGAGAUCCGCUGCAGAUGUUUGCAUUUAUUUUGUAAUUACUGUCACGCAAUGCGACCAUCAAAUCAAAUAAAACAAAUUCCCGUCGACUCCAAACUGAAGCUGAAACUGAAA
Long non-coding RNA from Drosophila albomicans, 431 nucleotides. RefSeq lists it as uncharacterized. The record is from RefSeq and is a predicted model, not a curated record. NCBI's taxonomy places the organism in Eukaryota, Metazoa, Arthropoda, Insecta, Diptera, Drosophilidae. The transcript is spliced from 3 exons.